ACUCCUACGGGAGGCAGCAGUGGGGAAUUUUGCGCAAUGGGGGAAACCCUGACGCAGCAACGCCGCGUGAGUGAUGAAGGCCUUUGGGUCGUAAAGCUCUGUCAGAGGGGAAGAAAUGAUAUAGUGCUAAUACCACUUUAUCUUGACGGUACCCUCAAAGGAAGCACCGGCUAACUCCGUGCCAGCAGCCGCGGUAAUACGGAGGGUGCGAGCGUUGUUCGGAUUUAUUGGGCGUAAAGCGCGUGUAGGCGGUUUUUUAAGUCUGAUGUGAAAGCCCCGGGCUCAACCUGGGAAGUGCAUUGGAUACUGGGAGACUUGAAUACGGGAGAGGGUAGUGGAAUUCCUAGUGUAGGAGUGAAAUCCGUAGAUAUUAGGAGGAACACCGGUGGCGAAGGCGGCUACCUGGACCGAUAUUGACGCUGAGACGCGAAAGCGUGGGGAGCAAACAGGAUUAGAUACCCUGGUAGUCCACGCCGUAAACGAUGAGUACUAGGUGUUGCGGGUAUUGACCCCUGCAGUGCCGCAGCUAACGCAUUAAGUACUCCGCCUGGGAAGUACGGUCGCAAGACUAAAACUCAAAGGAAUUGACGG
This 591-nucleotide ribosomal RNA is filed under the name uncultured Geobacter sp. RNAcentral describes it as "bacterial SSU rRNA". It matches the Rfam family "Bacterial small subunit ribosomal RNA", at positions 335 to 916 of the family's 1533-position model. Lineage: Bacteria; Pseudomonadati; Thermodesulfobacteriota; Desulfuromonadia; Geobacterales; Geobacteraceae. The record is from RNAcentral.